This 492-nucleotide ribosomal RNA is filed under the name uncultured bacterium. RNAcentral describes it as "partial 16S ribosomal RNA". It matches the Rfam family "Bacterial small subunit ribosomal RNA", at positions 29 to 507 of the family's 1533-position model. The record is from RNAcentral.
AGUGAACGCUGGCGGUAGGCCUAACACAUGCAAGUCGAACGGCAGCACAGUAAGAGCUUGCUCUUACGGGUGGCGAGUGGCGGACGGGUGAGGAAUACAUCGGAAUCUACUUUUUCGUGGGGGAUAACGUAGGGAAACUUACGCUAAUACCGCAUACGACCUACGUGUGAAAGCAGGGGAUCUUCGGACCUUGCGCGAUUGAAUGAGCCGAUGUCGGAUUAGCUAGUUGGCGGGGUAAAGGCCCACCAAGGCGACGAUCCGCAGCUGGUCUGAGAGGAUGAUCAGCCACACUGGAACUGAGACACGGUCCAGACUCCUACGGGAGGCAGCAGUGGGGAAUAUUGGACAAUGGGCGCAAGCCUGAUCCAGCCAUACCGCGUGGGUGAAGAAGGCCUUCGGGUUGUAAAGCCCUUUUGUUGGGAAAGAAAAGCAGCAGGUUAAUACCCCGCUGUUCUGACGGUACCCAAAGAAUAAGCACCGGCUAACUUCGUG